AUUGAACGCUGGCGGCAUGCCUUACACAUGCAAGUCGAACGGUAACAGGUUAAGCUGACGAGUGGCGAACGGGUGAGUAAUGUAUCGGAACGUGCCCAGUCGUGGGGGAUAACUGCUCGAAAGAGCAGCUAAUACCGCAUACGACCUGAGGGUGAAAGCGGGGGAUCGCAAGACCUCGCUCGAUUUGAGCGGUCGAUAUCAGAUUAGGUAGUUGGUGAGGUAAAGGCUCACCAAGCCGACGAGCUGUAGCUGGUCUGAGAGGACGACCAGCCACACUGGGACUGAGACAGGGCCCAGACUCCUACGGGAGGCAGCAGUGGGGAAUUUUAGACAAUGGGGGCAAGCGUGAUACAGGCAUGCCGGGUGCGGGAAGAAGGACUUCGGGUUGUAAACCGCUUUUGUCAGGGAAGAAAAGGUUCUGGCUAAUACCUGGGACUCAUGACGGUACCUGAAGAAUAAGCACCGGCUAACUACGUG
RNAcentral lists this ribosomal RNA (477 nucleotides) under uncultured bacterium. RNAcentral's name for it is "partial 16S ribosomal RNA". It matches the Rfam family "Bacterial small subunit ribosomal RNA", at positions 30 to 507 of the family's 1533-position model. The record is from RNAcentral.